RNAcentral lists this microRNA precursor (160 nucleotides) under Pelodiscus sinensis (Chinese soft-shelled turtle). Its description in RNAcentral is "miRNA (ENSPSIG00000020006.1)". The record is from RNAcentral. Lineage: Eukaryota; Metazoa; Chordata; Testudines; Trionychidae.
UCUUUGUAACACCCUUUAAGUACUUGCAAUGUGCUAUCACUCAGUCUCCUCUCUUCCAGUCUAAAUAAAUCCAAGUCUUUCAGUCUUCCAGCACAGAUCUUUCAUGAUUUUUGCACUCUUCACUGGAUCCUUUCCAAUUUCUCCACAGCUUUCUUGAAAU